GGCCAAGUUCAAGAACAACACCAUGCACAAAUAGUCCCCAAAAUGGCACAGAAAUGGCAUCAAGAGACCUUGAUUACAAGGAUAUGAAUCUCUUAAGGGAGUGGGCCCUAAGUUCGUGAGGAAUGUGUGCUUUGCCAUGAAGGAAAAGAAGGGCUUAAAAAAGAUGCAGGUCAACAACACCAAGGACAUGAAUGGACUAGCCAAGGCUGUCAGGGCCCUCAUAUAGCUCAAGGAGGUCAAGGUCAAGACCCCUGAGGGCAUCAGCUACAAGCUCAAUCUAUUUGCCUACAUUGCUGA
This 297-nucleotide long non-coding RNA is filed under the name Homo sapiens (human). Its description in RNAcentral is "non-protein coding lnc-ZSWIM2-10:1". Lineage: Eukaryota; Metazoa; Chordata; Mammalia; Primates; Hominidae. The record is from RNAcentral.